RNAcentral lists this ribosomal RNA (254 nucleotides) under Salmonella enterica subsp. enterica serovar Kentucky. Its description in RNAcentral is "partial 23S ribosomal RNA". It matches the Rfam family "Bacterial large subunit ribosomal RNA", at positions 506 to 789 of the family's 2925-position model. The record is from RNAcentral. Lineage: Bacteria; Pseudomonadati; Pseudomonadota; Gammaproteobacteria; Enterobacterales; Enterobacteriaceae.
AGGGAAAGGCGAAAAGAACCCCGGCGAGGGGAGUGAAAAAGAACCUGAAACCGUGUACGUACAAGCAGUGGGAGCACAGGUUUACCUGUGUGACUGCGUACCUUUUGUAUAAUGGGUCAGCGACUUACUAACCGCCAGCUACAGAGCGCGCUGGUGGAAACCGCGCAGGCGAACCAGGACGCGGUAAUGCCGGGAUAUACCCAUCUGCAACGUGCGCAGCCGGUGACUUUCGCCCACUGGUGUCUCGCGUAUGU